GACGAACGCUGGCGGCGUGCCUAAUACAUGCAAGUCGAACGAACUCUGGUAUUGAUUGGUGCUUGCAUCAUGAUUUACAUUUGAGUGAGUGGCGAACUGGUGAGUAACACGUGGGAAACCUGCCCAGAAGCGGGGGAUAACACCUGGAAACAGAUGCUAAUACCGCAUAACAACUUGGACCGCAUGGUCCGAGUUUGAAAGAUGGCUUCGGCUAUCACUUUUGGAUGGUCCCGCGGCGUAUUAGCUAGAUGGUGGGGUAACGGCUCACCAUGGCAAUGAUACGUAGCCGACCUGAGAGGGUAAUCGGCCACAUUGGGACUGAGACACGGCCCAAACUCCUACGGGAGGCAGCAGUAGGGAAUCUUCCACAAUGGACGAAAGUCUGAUGGAGCAACGCCGCGUGAGUGAAGAAGGGUUUCGGCUCGUAAAACUCUGUUGUUAAAGAAGAACAUAUCUGAGAGUAACUGUUCAGGUAUUGACGGUAUUUAACCAGAAAGCCAUGGCUAACUACGUGCCAGCAGCCGCGGUAAUACGUAGGUGGCAAGCGUUGUCCGGAUUUAUUGGGCGUAAAGCGAGCGCAGGCGGUUUUUUUAGUCUGAUGUGAAAGCCUUCGGCUCAACCGAAGAAGUGCAUCGGAAACUGGGAAACUUGAGUGCAGAAGAGGACAGUGGAACUCCAUGUGUAGCGGUGAAAUGCGUAGAUAUAUGGAAGAACACCAGUGGCGAAGGCGGCUGUCUGGUCUGUAACUGACGCUGAGGCUCGAAAGUAUGGGUAGCAAACAGGAUUAGAUACCCUGGUAGUCCAUACCGUAAACGAUGAAUGCUAAGUGUUGGAGGGUUUCCGCCCUUCAGUGCUGCAGCUAACGCAUUAAGCAUUCCGCCUGGGGAGUACGGCCGCAAGGCUGAAACUCAAAGGAAUUGACGGGGGCCCGCACAAGCGGUGGAGCAUGUGGUUUAAUUCGAAGCUACGCGAAGAACCUUACCAGGUCUUGACAUACUAUGCAAAUCUAAGAGAUUAGACGUUCCCUUCGGGGACAUGGAUACAGGUGGUGCAUGGUUGUCGUCAGCUCGUGUCGUGAGAUGUUGGGUUAAGUCCCGCAACGAGCGCAACCCUUAUUAUCAGUUGCCAGCAUUAAGUUGGGCACUCUGGUGAGACUGCCGGUGACAAACCGGAGGAAGGUGGGGAUGACGUCAAAUCAUCAUGCCCCUUAUGACCUGGGCUACACACGUGCUACAAUGGAUGGUACAACGAGUUGCGAACUCGCGAGAGUAAGCUAAUCUCUUAAAGCCAUUCUCAGUUCGGAUUGUAGGCUGCAACUCGCCUACAUGAAGUCGGAAUCGCUAGUAAUCGCGGAUCAGCAUGCCGCGGUGAAUACGUUCCCGGGCCUUGUACACACCGCCCGUCACACCAUGAGAGUUUGUAACACCCAAAGUCGGUGGGGUAACCUUUUAGGAACCAGCCGCCUAAGGUGGGACAGAUGAUUAGGGUGAAG
RNAcentral lists this ribosomal RNA (1492 nucleotides) under Lactiplantibacillus plantarum. RNAcentral describes it as "bacterial SSU rRNA". It matches the Rfam family "Bacterial small subunit ribosomal RNA". The record is from RNAcentral. Lineage: Bacteria; Bacillati; Bacillota; Bacilli; Lactobacillales; Lactobacillaceae.